This is a long non-coding RNA of Oncorhynchus tshawytscha (Chinook salmon), 395 nucleotides long. The record is from Ensembl. Lineage: Eukaryota; Metazoa; Chordata; Actinopteri; Salmoniformes; Salmonidae.
GGAAGGGAUCACGGCAGGGAUUGAAUGAGGGUAUUGCGCAUGAGUUGAGGUGUUUAGAGGCUUGACUUCAGUGCAGGACAGGGGUUGAGGUGUUUAGAGGCUUGACUUCAGUGCAGGACAGGGGUUGAGGUGUUCAGAGGCUUGACUUCAGUGCAGGACAGGGGUUGAGGUGUUUAGAGGCUUGACUUCAGUGCAGGACAGGGGUUGAGGUGUUCAGAGGCUUCAGUGCAGGACAGGGGUUGAGGUGUUCAGAGGCUUCAGUGCAGGACAGGGGUUGAGGUGUUCAGAGGCUUCAGUGCAGGACAGGGGUUGAGGUGUUCAGAGGCUUCAGUGCAGGACAGGGGUUGAGGUGUUCAGAGGCUUCAGUGCAGGACAGGGGUUGAGGUGUUCAGAGG